CGAAGGGGCAACGUGCUCGGAUUACUGGCGUAAAGGAGCGUAGCGGACUGUUAAGUCAGAGGUGAAAGCCAGGCUCAACCUUGGAAUGCCUUUGAUACUUGCAGUCUUGAGUACGAAGAGGUAUGUGGACUCCGAGUGUAGAGGUGAAAUCGUAGAUAUUCGGAAGACACCAGUGCGAAGCGACAUACUGUUCCGUUACUGCGCUGAGCUCGAAAGCGUGGGGAGCAAACAGGAUUAGAUACCCUGGUAGUCCACGCUGUAAACGAUGAGUGCUAGUUGUCGGCAGCAUGCUGUCGGUGACCCACAUAACGCAUUAAGCACUCCGCCUGGGGAGUACGGUCGCAAGAUUAAAACUCAAAGGAAUUGACGG
Molecule: ribosomal RNA, 370 nt
Filed under: uncultured bacterium
Lineage: Bacteria
Description: bacterial SSU rRNA
Rfam family: Bacterial small subunit ribosomal RNA
Source: RNAcentral